CGGCCGCGUCGACCGGGUGAGUAACGCGUGAGAAUCUGCCUUCAGGACGGAGACAACAGUUGGAAACGACUGCUAAGCCCCGAUAAACCGAAAGGGAAAAUAUUUAUAGCCUGAAGAUGAGCUCGCGUCCGAUUAGCUAGUUGGCGGAGUAAAAGCCCACCAAGGCGACGAUCGGUAGCUGGUCUGAGAGGACGAUCAGCCACACUGGGACUGAGACACGGCCCAGACUCCUACGGGAGGCAGCAGUGGGGAAUUUUCCGCAAUGGGCGAAAGCCUGACGGAGCAAGACCGCGUGGGGGGAAGAAGGCUCUUGGGGUUGUAAAACCCCCUUUUUCUCUGGGAAGAAAGUUGUGAAAGCAACCUGACGGUACCAGAGGAAUCAGCAUCGGCUAACUCCGUGCCAGCAGCCGUUCGACGCGGCCG
Molecule: ribosomal RNA, 423 nt
Filed under: uncultured bacterium
Lineage: Bacteria
Description: bacterial SSU rRNA
Rfam family: Bacterial small subunit ribosomal RNA
Source: RNAcentral